This is a long non-coding RNA of Eptesicus fuscus (big brown bat), 267 nucleotides long. RefSeq lists it as uncharacterized. The record is from RefSeq and is a predicted model, not a curated record. The transcript has 3 exons. Lineage: Eukaryota; Metazoa; Chordata; Mammalia; Chiroptera; Vespertilionidae.
GUGAGAGGCCUCUGUCAGCAAUGGCUGCUGGGCUCUGGUUAUUGCUUUGGGCCCAAUUAACCACAAGGAGCCCUUUAUGGCAGAUCAGGACAGAAGUCCAAAAUCAAGAUGUCAGCAGGGCUCUGAGGGAGAAUCCUCCCUUGCCUUCUUCGCUAGCAAGCCUUGGCGUUCCUUGGCUGGGAGCCUCCAACCUCUGCUCUGCCUUCAUAUCACCUUCUCCUGUCUCCUGUUCCAGGGAUUUGGAUGUGGACAUACCUUUUGUGGGGA